This is a long non-coding RNA of Olea europaea var. sylvestris, 3083 nucleotides long. RefSeq lists it as uncharacterized. The transcript is spliced from 6 exons. The record is from RefSeq and is a predicted model, not a curated record. Lineage: Eukaryota; Viridiplantae; Streptophyta; Magnoliopsida; Lamiales; Oleaceae.
CUUCGGUAUAAACCUUUUCUCUUUCUCUCACUUCAUUCAUUCAGACAUUCCCUAUUUUUUGAGUUUUUUUUUUCAACUCCUCGUUCCACAACAAAAUCAAAUCCUAAAAAGGAGGAUGAAGAAGGGUAAAAUCCGACAAGUAAGAUGAGACCGAGGCUCGAAGCAAGAUGCUUUCGGUUUGAUUUUUGAAGAGGAUGAAGCCAUUGAAGUGGAAGGGACGAAGAGUUCUGAGAAAUCAACGUCCUUUCGCCCUAAAGUUCCAACGACUGGUUUCGUCCUCCUUUACUGUGUUAUUACGGUCAAUAUAAGGCAAGUUUUGAUUUUGAUAUUUUUUCCCCUUCAUAAAAAUAGUUUAAAUCUCAAAAUAUGUGGAUGGUGUCUUCAAUACAAUUCACUUGUUCGAGAUUUGGGUUACUUGUUUUUCGGAAGCAACUUUUUUUCUUAUUGCUUAAAAUAGAUGACUCUUUUUGUUUGACUUGUCACCUUCGUGUAAUCUGGAGAGGUUUUUGUAGUCCAUCACCCCUUUUAGUUCCAGCUCAACAUUUAUUUAACGUUUUAUUGCUUGUAAAUGAAUUGAAUUUUUAGAAUUUGUACUUAAUUAAUUUUAAUUUAUCAGUAAUAUUAAUUAUAUCAUUUCAUUGCCUUUAUAUAAAAGAGUGAAUGUUGGCUCUACUGUUCAUUUUGCUGCCCUCCGAUUCACACUGAAACUGGUUCUUUACUGUUCAUUAUCUAGUUAUUCAAUAAGAUAUAGAUAUUUUACAUAAAGAGCAUUUGCUUUCUUUUUCUUCAUUCACUCUCUCUUGCUUUUUCAUGAGUUUCUUUCUCAACAAACCGAGCCAAAGCAAUCCCUAAGAAGGAGAGAAAAGGUAAGAUUCAAACUAAUUACUGGAAUCGACCUUCAAUUUCUUCCAAUCUUGUAAAUUUCUUCAAUUUCUUGAUCACUUUUGCAGAUCCUGUGGAAAUUUUUCCCUUUUUAUGAAAGUUUAACUAAAAUUUCAAACAAAGACUUGAGAGAAAAUUGAACUAUUUUCAGUUCAAGUAAAGAUCUUGGAACAACAACACGACAAUAGCAAAAAGGUCUUAUGAGGAUUCACAGGUAUUCUGGGGAAAAUUUCGGGGGUUAUCUCUAGAUUUUAGAGAGGACGAACGAAUUUUUUCUGGUCUUUCUUAUUUACUCGAAGAUAAUUGAUGGCAGUUUCUACUGCAAAGAUAGAAUCCUGAUAUGGUGGAUAUCAAGUGUUUUGAGCUAAUCGAUUCUGGCUCUGUAAUUAUAUUUAGCUAAAAGGGUGUGUAAUUAAGGGAAAAUUCAUGGUGGAUUAUGUAAAUACGGAAAGGAGAGAGAUUCUCUCAAUUUCUGCUGCUUGAAAUUCUUCAAAUAAUAUUGCCAGAACCUGGAUAGUUUUCAUUUUAUUUGCAUCAGAGGCCUGUUGAAAGAAUUUUGUAUGUUUGCUUUAGAAUUUGAAUUUUUCAGUCCUUAGUUUGAAGGGGUGGUCACAACAUUAUAGAAGAAGAGACCAAUGCAUUUGAAGUUGGGAAUACGAAAAGGUUGGAGAAAUUCUAGACAAGAUAAGAUAUAUGGGGUUUUGAUACCUUCAAUGAAGUAAGUGGAGUGAAAAUGGGUACAACGAUUUUACAUUCUUUGACAGGUGAUAAUCCAGAAUUGCAAAAGCAAACAGGACAGCAUUAUAGAAGAAAAGUCAGUGCAUUGCAAGUUGGGUAUACGAAAAGGUGAUAAUCCAAAAUUGAAAAAGCAAACAUGAUAUAUGACAGGCAUCUUUCAACUGUUCGAUCAUCAGCCUAUUCUUACUGGGAGGUGCAUCGUUGGCCACAACACAGAGAGGCUGCCUCCUGGUUCAGAUGUUCAUUUGCAGGAAAUGCCCACUUCCAUAAUGUACAUUGGAAAUAGAAUCUAAUACUACAGAAUGAAGAUCUGCACUAGUGAAAUCAGGUAAAACGUGGAGGAGCUGGCAAAGAUUAUUGGGGAGCUCAUAUUGAUAAAUUGGUUGAGUGAGUUUCUCCUUGGCGACUUUGACAGUUGUAGUUUCCUUGCCAUUGGUGAAUCAAAUGCAACUUGUGAAAAGAGGUUGGCAUCCAUUGUACUUCAAAUAUAUGAUAGAAGUAUAUUGAUCCUACCAUUGACCUUGGCACAUGUUACCUGUCAUAAAGGAGUUAUGAAAGGUCGGGUCAUGCAAAUGGCCAGGCUUUACUGGAUAAAUAACAGAAAAAUAUAAGGAUUUCACGUGUUGAAAAGGAGAUUUUUUAUUUUAAAUCACAUCAAAUCUUCGAUGUAUAUUUCAUUUGUUACAAGUGAUUAUAUUGAUAGAAGAAAAUUUGGAUGGUUAAUCUGAUUUUUAAUCACAUCAAAUCAUUUGUAUGUUUCGAAUGGAAAGAAUGCCCAUGUGACAAGGCAACUUACUGAAGGUAUUAUCUGGCAUUUAACUUUUAUUAUCUAUAUUUUCCCAUGAUUUAGAUUGAAUUUUGGUUCUAUUAACUUGUUGAAUUCUUUUAGUAAUGUUAUUUGCAUUAAUAGAAUUUGUGAAUGACUAAACCUCAAUAUCAUCCACCACAUGCAACAAUAGUAACGACACUCAAUCCAUGGAUGAUGAGAAUUCCAUAAGACUGGUGAUUGACAUAGUCCAUGAAACUCAAAGAGAGGUGGAAGAAAAUUCACAGAAGACCAAAUGAAUCGAUAAAAAUGGGAGUUGGGGGGAUCACUAACCGAAGCAAAGAAAGAAAUGAAGUCAGGGGAUUCUGAGCACAAGUUGGGGAUUGGUUCCGCAUAUAAGAUUAGUUCUUUGUUCAAUUUACUUAUUGUCAUUCUGAAUCAUGCAUAGUGAUUUGACAUUUAUUGGAUUGUCGAGCAUCAAAAUCUGCUGGUAGGAUAUCAUGUUCCAUGCGGAGGGAAGAAAAAAGGUGCUUUUAUUACCUUGACUUGAUAAUUUUGGUCAUCUAGGUUUAGAAUUUCUAUUGCAGUUCUUCAAUGUUAUUAGGUUCCAUUUGCCAUUUAAUAAAUAUUAGAGUUUUUUCAUAAUUAUUUCCUACUUUGAUGACGUUUGAUAAUAAAGUUGAGUAUCUAUAAUCUC